RNAcentral lists this ribosomal RNA (423 nucleotides) under uncultured bacterium. RNAcentral's name for it is "bacterial SSU rRNA". It matches the Rfam family "Bacterial small subunit ribosomal RNA", at positions 917 to 1344 of the family's 1533-position model. The record is from RNAcentral.
GGGCCCGCACAAGCGGUGGAGCAUGUGGUUUAAUUCGAUGCAACGCGAAGAACCUUACCAGGGCUUGACAUACUACAAAUUCUUUUGAGAAAGAGAAGUGCCUUCGGGAAUGUAGAUACAGGUGGUGCAUGGCUGUCGUCAGCUCGUGUCGUGAGAUGUUGGGUUAAGUCCCGCAACGAGCGCAACCCUUAUUUUUAGUUACCAAUUCGUUGGGUUUUUUAGAAAGACUGCCGGUGACAAACCGGAGGAAGGUGAGGAUGACGUCAAGUCAGCAUGCCCCUUAUGUCCUGGGCUACACACGUGCUACAAUGGUUAAGACAAAGAGUCGCAAGCUCGCGAGAGUUAGCUAAUCUAUUAAACUUAGCCUAAGUUCAGAUUGUAGGCUGCAACUCGCCUACAUGAAGUUGGAAUCGCUAGUAAUCG